CGGGGACUUGCAGACUCCCCGCCAGACGGGCGUUGCCGUCCAAGCUCUGC
RNAcentral lists this non-coding RNA (50 nucleotides) under unclassified sequences. RNAcentral's name for it is "chromate-resist RNA". It matches the Rfam family "chrB-b RNA". The record is from RNAcentral.